UACAGAGGGCUCAAGCGUUGUUCGGAAUUACUGGGCGUAAAGGGUGCGCAGGCCGCGCGGGCAGUCAAAUGUGUAAUCCAGGGGCUCAACCCCUGAACUGCGCUUGAUACUUCCGCGCUCGAGCUUUGGAGAGGAGUCUGGAAUUCUCGGUGUAGCAGUGAAAUGCGUGGAUAUCGAGAAGAACACUUAGGGCGUAGGCAAGACUCUGGACAAAUGCUGACGCUCAUGCACGAAGGCUAGGGUAGCGAACGGG
RNAcentral lists this ribosomal RNA (253 nucleotides) under uncultured bacterium. Its description in RNAcentral is "partial 16S ribosomal RNA". It matches the Rfam family "Bacterial small subunit ribosomal RNA", at positions 524 to 776 of the family's 1533-position model. The record is from RNAcentral.